Pseudophryne corroboree (corroboree frog) is the source of this 283-nucleotide long non-coding RNA. RefSeq lists it as uncharacterized. Lineage: Eukaryota; Metazoa; Chordata; Amphibia; Anura; Myobatrachidae. The record is from RefSeq and is a predicted model, not a curated record. The transcript has 2 exons.
CCCAGCGCGUUGCCAUAGGAACCGGUGGGCCAGAUUGCGUCACUUCCGGCCGGGCCGUGUUGCCGAAACCAAAAGUGCGGGACGGGAGACGCCGGGGCACUCCGUGGUCCACGCAGCUGAAAGUCAUGAUUGUGGGGCACAGCCCACGCCGCCCGGAUACCGGCCGCAUCGCCCCAUCUCUCCGGAAGUGACGUAGCGCCGGUCCGUCCAGCUGACGCUCUGACGCUGUAGACAAGGUUGCCAUAGUUACUAAUAAACAGUGAUAUCAAGUGAUUCAAAAAGA